Ictalurus punctatus (channel catfish) is the source of this 646-nucleotide long non-coding RNA. Lineage: Eukaryota; Metazoa; Chordata; Actinopteri; Siluriformes; Ictaluridae. The record is from Ensembl.
GUAACUUUUUAUGCAAGCACGCAGUGAUUUUUAAAGGUUCACAACUAAUUACAUUUUUACUGGUGUCUAGUUAAAUCAAAAUAUAUAUAUUUUUUAAUCUCUUCCAUUAGUCUGUUGUUAGUCUUUAGUGUGUAGUUAGUGUGUAGUUAGUGUGUAGUUAGUGUGUAGUUAGUGUGUAGUUAGUGUGUAGUUAGUGUGCAGUUAGUGUGUAGUUAGUGUGUAGUUAGUGUGUCGUUAGUGUGUAGUUAGUGUGUAGUUAGUGUGUAGUUAGUGUGCAGUUAGUGUGAAAUUAGUGUGUAGUUAGUGUGUAGUUAGCGUGUAGUUAGUGUGUAGUUAGUGUGUAAUUAGUGUGUAGUUAGCGUGUAGUUAGUGUGAAAUUAGCGUGUAGUUAGUGUGUAGUUAUAGUGUAGUUAGUGUGUAGUUAGUGUGAAAUUAGUGUGUAGUUAGCAUGUAGUUAGUAUGUAGUGUGUAGUUAGUGUGUAGUUAGUGUGGUUAUAGCGUGUAGUUAGCGUGUAGUGUGUAGUUAGUGUGUAGUUAGUGUGUAGUUAGUGUGCUAGUUAGCGUGUAGUGUGUAGUUAGUGUGUAGUUAGUGUGUAAUUAGAGUGUAAUUAGUGUGUAGUUAGUGUGUAGUUAGCGUGUAGUUAGU